Molecule: ribosomal RNA, 404 nt
Filed under: uncultured bacterium
Lineage: Bacteria
Description: bacterial SSU rRNA
Rfam family: Bacterial small subunit ribosomal RNA
Source: RNAcentral
UUUUGGACAAUGGGCGCAAGCCUGAUCCAGCCAUGCCGCGUGCGGGAAGAAGGCCUUCGGGUUGUAAACCGCUUUUGUCAGGGAAGAAACGGUUUGGGCUAAUACCCCGAACUAAUGACGGUACCUGAAGAAUAAGCACCGGCUAACUACGUGCCAGCAGCCGCGGUAAUACGUAGGGUGCAAGCGUUAAUCGGAAUUACUGGGCGUAAAGCGUGCGCAGGCGGCUUUGCAAGACAGAUGUGAAAUCCCCGGGCUCAACCUGGGAACUGCAUUUGUGACUGCAAGGCUGGAGUGCGGCAGAGGGGGAUGGAAUUCCGCGUGUAGCUGUGAAAUGCGUAGAUAUGCGGAGGAACACCGAUGGCGAAGGCAAUCCCCUGGGCCUGCACUGACGCUCAUGCACGAAA